RNAcentral lists this ribosomal RNA (427 nucleotides) under uncultured bacterium. Its description in RNAcentral is "partial 16S ribosomal RNA". It matches the Rfam family "Bacterial small subunit ribosomal RNA", at positions 354 to 796 of the family's 1533-position model. The record is from RNAcentral.
GUGGGGAAUAUUGGGCAAUGGGGGCAACCCUGACCCAGCGACGCCGCGUGGGUGAAGAAAUCCCUCGGGAUGUAAAGCCCUGUUGUAUGGGAAGAGCAGAAGACGGUACCAUACGAGGAAGCCCCGGCAAACUACGUGCCAGCAGCCGCGGUAAUACGUAGGGGGCAAGCGUUGUCCGGAAUUACUGGGCGUAAAGCGCACGCAGGCUGAAUUAUAAGUCGGUAGUCAAAUACGGAGGCUCAACUUCCGGAUAUCUAUCGAUACUGUAAAUCUAGAGUAUGUGAGAGGGAAGCGGAAUUCCCGGUGUGGCGGUGAAAUGCGUAGAUAUCGGGAGGAACACCAGUGGCGAAGGCGGCUUCCUGGCACAAUACUGACGCUCAUGUGCGAAAGCUAGGGCAGCGAACGGGAUUAGAAACCCCUGUAGUCC